RNAcentral lists this ribosomal RNA (736 nucleotides) under uncultured bacterium. Its description in RNAcentral is "bacterial SSU rRNA". It matches the Rfam family "Bacterial small subunit ribosomal RNA", at positions 53 to 772 of the family's 1533-position model. The record is from RNAcentral.
ACCAUGCAGUCGACGCGAAGUGGAGCAAUCCAUAAGUAGAGUGGCAAACGGGUGAGUAACACGUGGGUGACCUGCCUUCGAGUGGGGGAUAACCUUCCGAAAGGAGGGCUAAUACCGCAUGACAUACCGUGUUUGGAUACACGGAUAUCAAAGCCGGGGAUCGCAAGACCUGGCGCUUGGAGAGGGGCCCGCGUCCGAUUAGCUAGUUGGUGAGGUAACGGCUCACCAAGGCUCCGAUCGGUAUCCGGCCUGAGAGGGCGGACGGACACACUGGAACUGAGACACGGUCCAGACUCCUACGGGAGGCAGCAGUGGGGAAUUGUUCGCAAUGGGCGAAGGCCUGACGACGCAACGCCGCGUGGAGGAUGAAGAAUUUCGGUUCGUAAACUCCUUUCGACCGAGAUGAAUACCCAUGGACCCAACACGUCCGUGGGCUGACAGUAUCGAGAGAAGAAGCCCCGGCUAACUCUGUGCCAGCAGCCGCGGUAAUACAGGGGGGGGCAAGCGUUGUUCGGAAUUACUGGGCGUAAAGGGUUCGUAUGUGGCCAACUAAGUCAGACGUGAAAUCCCUCAGCUUAACUAGGGAACUGCGUCUGAUACUGGUUGGCUUGAGUGCAGAGAGGAACGCAGAAUUCCAGGUGUAGCGGUGAAAUGCGUAGAUAUCUGGAGGAUACCGGUGGCGAAUGCGGCGUUCUGGACUGUAACUGACACUGAGAAACGAAAGCCAGGGAGCAAA